Caretta caretta (loggerhead turtle) is the source of this 1231-nucleotide long non-coding RNA. RefSeq lists it as uncharacterized. The record is from RefSeq and is a predicted model, not a curated record. Lineage: Eukaryota; Metazoa; Chordata; Testudines; Cheloniidae.
CAGCUGGGGAAAAGGAUAGGACUUCUUUUAAACUCAACAAAACUUUUAAGCUCUGAUCCCGGAAAAGCCUUUACAUACCCCGACGUGCCAGGAACUGCUAAAGGCAAAGCUGGAGUUACUGCUAUGGCUCCACUAAGGGAAGCGGUGCAUGCCCAGACCAGAACACCAGGCCUCUCUGACCAGUGGACAUCAACCUCCAUCAGCCCAACUCAGGUUUAGCUGGUAACAACCAGCGAGCAAAGGUGUAUUCAGCCCUGCAAGCCCUAUAAUCCAGAUGCAGAGCUGCAACCUGCAGGAUUCCCUUGCAAAGACAAGUUGCCUCUGGUAUCCAGCCACGUGAAGAGAUUAAAAGCCAUGCCAGAAUCAGACGACUGGAACUGGAGCCCAGAGCAGACAUGGAUCCGAUCACACCUGACACACUGAACUCCUUCAGCCACUAAGGAGAGGAUCCCUGUGGCCUAGGGAAAAGCAGAGACCGGAGUAAAUGGAGCCUUCACGUUCUCCAGGUGUACCAUGCUAACGGGGGCAGGGGGAGGGGAAACACAGCUAAUAAUCAGGGCAGCAGAACAUGCCACGACUGCCUUCCAGUCUCCAUGGCUGUUCCAUGUCAGAGAGGUUUGUCUGUAUGAGAGAAAUGAUGCUCAGCAAUGUUCCCUCUAAUUUUUUUCAUCCAUGUGCAGAAUGAAUUUUGUUAUGUGCAGUACCAAUAUCGAGGUAAUAUGCAGACAUGCGCCAUCACCUCCAUACUUUCAAGGCAGCCCUUAUCCCACUAAGAGCUCACAGCGUCCUACGGCUAGUACCCAGCUGGGUCUUAGGGAAAGUCUGUCUUCAGGUGACGGCUGCGGUACCCCUAUCUGUUCAUUCCUACAGCGUCCCUCCACAAGGAUCAGUACAUGCUUUGCAAACUAUACAUAGAAAUGCAUCACUGAAAUGCAGCCACCUCUGGGAAGGAAGGUCAGUAGCCAGUGAAGCCAAUAGCACAGAGAGCACUAUGCAGUAGUUUGAAAAGAGAAAGGGAAUUUUGGAUAGGAAGAAUCUUUUCCUCUUAUGCAAAAUGCUUGAGAUAUUUAAUGUUCAGACAGGGCUUCAUCUGUAAAGGUCUCAUCUGAAUGUAAAAUGUAAUACUGCAAUUUAGAAAUCAAAGUAAAUGUUUCUUUUUAAAUCAGGACACUAAGGCUCAAAAUAAUUUUUAAAAACACUCAAAUCCCCCUUACUACCAUCCUCUUGUAUU